GGGUUGUGAGGUUAAGCGACUAAGCGUACACGGUGGAUGCCCUGGCAGUCAGAGGCGAUGAAGGACGUGCUAAUCUGCGAUAAGCGUCGGUAAGGUGAUAUGAACCGUUAUAACCGGCGAUUUCCGAAUGGGGAAACCCAGUGUGUUUCGACACACUAUCAUUAACUGAAUCCAUAGGUUAAUGAGGCGAACCGGGGGAACUGAAACAUCUAAGUACCCCGAGGAAAAGAAAUCAACCGAGAUUCCCCCAGUAGCGGCGAGCGAACGGGGAGCAGCCCAGAGCCUGAAUCAGUAUGUGUGUUAGUGGAAUCGUCUGGAAAGGCGCGCGAUACAGGGUGACAGCCCCGUACACAAAAAUGCACAUAUUGUGAGCUCGAUGAGUAGGGCGGGACACGUGGUAUCCUGUCUGAAUAUGGGGGGACCAUCCUCCAAGGCUAAAUACUCCGGACUGACCGAUAGUGAACCAGUACCGUGAGGGAAAGGCGAAAAGAACCCCGGCGAGGGGAGUGAAAAAGAACCUGAAACCGUGUACGUACAAGCAGUGGGAGC
This 549-nucleotide ribosomal RNA is filed under the name Escherichia coli. RNAcentral's name for it is "bacterial LSU rRNA". It matches the Rfam family "Bacterial large subunit ribosomal RNA", at positions 1 to 580 of the family's 2925-position model. Lineage: Bacteria; Pseudomonadati; Pseudomonadota; Gammaproteobacteria; Enterobacterales; Enterobacteriaceae. The record is from RNAcentral.